This is a non-coding RNA of Paramisgurnus dabryanus, 515 nucleotides long. The record is from RefSeq and is a predicted model, not a curated record. NCBI's taxonomy places the organism in Eukaryota, Metazoa, Chordata, Actinopteri, Cypriniformes, Cobitidae.
UGUCACAGAUUCUGACUGAGAGUCACAGCCUCAGAGGCAUCGUAAACAAGCGUUAUAUUUCUCUAUAAACGAUGGUGUCUGUACUGCCUUACCACUUCGAGCUCGAUCCAGAGAGUUCAGAAGGCCGUUACGAUAUAAACGAUCUCCGUCAAUGAAUGCGAUUGGAUUUAACUUUUUUAGGUGUCCUUAGCUCUGCCAGAAUGCUAAACGAAGACGAAAAUGUGUUGCAAAGACAUCCAAAAGGUUUUAAGGAGAAUGCAACAGGUUCCAGGGCCUCUUACCUGCGUGAUUCAUCAUCCAGGUUUUGCACAAAUUGUCUAAAUCCCUACACACAGAACAUUUAUUGUACCGACUAUAAGCCUUUGAGGUGCAGGACUAGAAUACGCUUGGAGCUUCCUGAUCGGAAUGUUGGCUUCCGACGACCCCUGCACUCAAGAUGGCAUGCAAUCACGUCCUCCUUUGAAGGUCUCUCAAACUGUGAUGCCAGGUCCAUUGGAAUCGGGGUUUCCUUCAGC